CGUCCGUAACGAGCGCAACCCUCGUCCUUAGUUACCAGCACGUUAUGGUGGGCACUCUAAGGAGACUGCCGGUGACAAACCGGAGGAAGGUGGGGAUGACGUCAAGUCAUCAUGGCCCUUACGGCCUGGGCUACACACGUGCUACAAUGGUCGGUACAAAGGGUUGCCAACGCCGCGGAGGUGGAGCUAAUACCCAUAAAACCGAUCGUAGUCCGGAUCGCAGUCUGCAACUCGACUGCGUGAAGUCGGAAUCGCUAGUAAUCGUGAAUCAGAAUGUCACGGUGAAUACGUUCCCGGGCCUU
This 302-nucleotide ribosomal RNA is filed under the name uncultured Pseudomonas sp. RNAcentral describes it as "bacterial SSU rRNA". It matches the Rfam family "Bacterial small subunit ribosomal RNA", at positions 1083 to 1382 of the family's 1533-position model. Lineage: Bacteria; Pseudomonadati; Pseudomonadota; Gammaproteobacteria; Pseudomonadales; Pseudomonadaceae. The record is from RNAcentral.